ACCCAAGUGCAGGUUGUCGCAAGUAGUAAAUCUCGGAAGUCCGAGGUCGAACCACAGGGAAUUGGAAGGAAAUAAACUAUUCUAUGAGUAAUGAACGGUUGGUGGAAAUACGAUUGAGACGAACACUAGAGCAUCGGGGAUUCACUUUGGAUAAAUGAGUAGAAAUUGCACUUGAUCUUUAAUUUAACUCAUAUGAAAAUCAAAUAAAACAUUAACCACAAAUAUACUAAAAGAUAGAUCUUGAUAAUUGUUUGAGAGAAUAUGUCAAAAUAAGUUGUUGGUAUGUAGAGAUUAUCUAAGCAUUUAUUGUGCCAAAAUUGUCAACAAUAAAUCAAAGUCUUUAACAAACCAAAACCAUUUGUAGAACAUAUACUUCAACCAAGUAAGAAGAUGAACAUUGAAGAACAAAAUGAAAGAUCAAAGACAAUACUAAACAUUCAUCAAAGUUUCACCCCUAGCUCUAGCUAAAUGUUUAGAAAUACAUAGUGAAAUGUUACAAAGAAAAUGAAGGAAACUAGAAUAUGAUGGAGAGAAUUGAUGCUUCAAAAUCGUGGCCAAGGUCCCCUUUUA
RNAcentral lists this long non-coding RNA (570 nucleotides) under Olea europaea (common olive). Its description in RNAcentral is "long non-coding RNA (OEUR_LNC005980)". The record is from RNAcentral. Lineage: Eukaryota; Viridiplantae; Streptophyta; Magnoliopsida; Lamiales; Oleaceae.